UGGGGAAUUUUGGACAAUGGGGGAAACCCUGAUCCAGCCAUCCCGCGUGUGCGAUGAAGGCCUUCGGGUUGUAAAGCACUUUUGGCAGGAAAGAAACGUCGCGGGUUAAUACCCCCGCGGAACUGACGGUACCUGCAGAAUAAGCACCGGCUAACUACGUGCCAGCAGCCGCGGUAAUACGUAGGGUGCAAGCGUUAAUCGGAAUUACUGGGCGUAAAGCGUGCGCAGGCGGUUCGGAAAGAAAGAUGUGAAAUCCCAGAGCUUAACUUUGGAACUGCAUUUUUUAACUACCGGGCUAGAGUGUGUCAGAGGGAGGUGGAAUUCCGCGUGUAGCAGUGAAAUGCGUAGAUAUGCGGAGGAACACCGAUGGCGAAGGCAGCCUCCUGGGAUAACACUGACGCUCAUGCACGAAAGCGUGGGGAGCAAACAGGAUUAGAUACCCUGGUAGUCCACGCCCUAAACGAUGUCAACUAGCUGUUGGGGUCUUCGGACCUUGGUAGCGCAGCUAACGCGUGAAGUUGACCGCCCUGGGGAGUNCGGUCGCAAGAUUAAAACUUAAAU
Molecule: ribosomal RNA, 561 nt
Filed under: uncultured bacterium
Lineage: Bacteria
Description: partial 16S ribosomal RNA
Rfam family: Bacterial small subunit ribosomal RNA
Source: RNAcentral